This 747-nucleotide ribosomal RNA is filed under the name unidentified archaeon. Its description in RNAcentral is "partial 16S ribosomal RNA". The record is from RNAcentral.
GGGACUACCCGGGUAUCUAAUCCGGUUCGUGCCCCCAGCUUUCGUCCCUCACCGUCGAACCCGUUCUGGUAAAGACGCCUUCGCCACAGGUGGUCCCACAGGGAUUACAAGAUUUCACUCCUACCCCUGUAGUACCUCUUACCUCUCCCGGUUCCAAGUCUGGCAGUAUCCCCCGAAAGCCUAACAGUUGAGCUGUCAGAUUUCCCGGAGGACUGACCAAACCGGCUACGGACCCUUUAGACCCAAUAAUCACGAUCACCACUCGGGCCGCCGGUGUUACCGCGGCGGCUGGCACCGGUCUUGCCCGGCCCUUGCUAACAGGUGUAUUUUACACACCUGGACAGCCAGCAUAUGAUGCUAGCACUCGGUGUCCCCUUAUCACGGUUUCCCGCAUUGUAAAGUUUUCGCGCCUGCUGCGCCCCGUAGGGCCUGGAUUCAUGUCUCAGAAUCCAUCUCCGGGCUCUUGCUCUCACAACCCGUACCCGUUGUAGGCUAGUAGGUACAUUACACCCACUACUACCUGAUAGGCCGCAGACCCAUCCUUGGGCAGACGAAUCCAUUUUACGCAUAAAGCAUUCCAGCAUAUGUGCGUUAUCCGGAAUUAUCCCCAGUUUCCCGGGGUUAUGCCGGACCCAAGGGCAGGUUAUCCACGUGUUACUGAGCAGUACGCCAUGUUCACGAAGAACAUAUGACUCGCAUGGCUUAGGCGAACACCGAUAGCAGUAACCUCUGGCAGGAUCAACCGGA